UACGGGGGGGGCAAGCGUUGUUCGGAAUUACUGGGCGUAAAGGGCUCGUAGGUGGCCAACUAAGUCAGACGUGAAAUCCCCAGGCUCAACUUGGGAACUGCGUCUGAUACUGGAUGGCUUGAAUUCGGGAGAGGAUAGCGGAAUUCCCAGUGUAGAGGUGAAAUUCGUAGAUAUUGGGAAGAACACCGGUGGCGAAGGCGGCUAUCUGGACCGACAUUGACGCUGAGGCGCGAAAGCGUGGGGAGCAAACAGG
Molecule: ribosomal RNA, 253 nt
Filed under: uncultured bacterium
Lineage: Bacteria
Description: partial 16S ribosomal RNA
Rfam family: Bacterial small subunit ribosomal RNA
Source: RNAcentral